Molecule: ribosomal RNA, 1517 nt
Filed under: uncultured bacterium
Lineage: Bacteria
Description: bacterial SSU rRNA
Rfam family: Bacterial small subunit ribosomal RNA
Source: RNAcentral
GAGUUUGAUCCUGGCUCAGAACGAACGCUGGCGGCAGGCUUAACACAUGCAAGUCGAGCGCCCCUCCUUCAAGCAAGCUUGAAGGAUUUAGAUCCUUGGAAAGGAAGAUCAGGACAGCUUCUAAGAAGCUUUCUUGAUGGAGGGGAGCGGCAGACGGGUGAGUAACACGUGGGAACAUACCCUUUUCUGCGGAAUAACUCUGGGAAACUGGAACUAAUACCGCAUACGCCCUACGGGGGAAAGAUUUAUCGGAGAAGGAUUGGCCCGCGUUGGAUUAGCUAGUUGGUAGGGUAAUGGCCUACCAAGGCGACGAUCCAUAGCUGGUCUGAGAGGAUGAUCAGCCACAUUGGGACUGAGACACGGCCCAAACUCCUACGGGAGGCAGCAGUGGGGAAUAUUGGACAAUGGGGGCAACCCUGAUCCAGCCAUGCCGCGUGAGUGAAGAAGGCCUUAGGGUUGUAAAGCUCUUUCACUGGAGAAGAUAAUGACGGUAUCCGGAGAAGAAGCCCCGGCUAACUUCGUGCCAGCAGCCGCGGUAAUACGUAGGGUGCGAGCGUUAAUCGGAAUUACUGGGCGUAAAGCGUGCGCAGGCGGUUUGCCAAGACAGGCGUGAAAUCCCCGGGCUUAACCUGGGAACUGCGCUUGUGACUGGCAGGCUAGAGUACGGCAGAGGGGGGGUGGAAUUCCACGUGUAGCAGUGAAAUGCGUAGAGAUGUGGAGGAACACCGAUGGCGAAAGCAGCCCCCUGGGCCCGUACUGACGCUCAUGCACGAAAGCGUGGGGAGCAAACAGGAUUAGAUACCCUGGUAGUCCACGCCCUAAACGAUGUCGACUAGUCGUUCGGAGCAGCAAUGCACUGAGUGACGCAGCUAACGCGUGAAGUCGACCGCCUGGGGAGUACGGCCGCAAGGUUAAAACUCAAAGGAAUUGACGGGGACCCGCACAAGCGGUGGAUGAUGUGGAUUAAUUCGAUGCAACGCGAAAAACCUUACCUACCCUUGACAUGCCAGGAAUCUUGCUGAGAGGCGAGAGUGCCUUCGGGAGCCUGGACACAGGUGCUGCAUGGCUGUCGUCAGCUCGUGUCGUGAGAUGUUGGGUUAAGUCCCGCAACGAGCGCAACCCUUGUCACUAGUUGCCAUCAUUUGGUUGGGCACUCUAGUGAGACUGCCGGUGACAAACCGGAGGAAGGUGGGGAUGACGUCAAGUCCUCAUGGCCCUUAUGGGUAGGGCUUCACACGUCAUACAAUGGUCGGUACAGAGGGUUGCCAAGCCGCGAGGUGGAGCCAAUCCCUUAAAGCCGAUCGUAGUCCGGAUCGUAGUCUGCAACUCGACUACGUGAAGUCGGAAUCGCUUGUAUUGCAGAUCAGCAUGCUGUGGUUAAUACGUUCCCGGGUCUUGUACACACCGCCCGUCACACCAUGGGAGUGGGUUUCACCAGAAGUAGGUAGCUUAACCUUCGGGGGGGCGCUUACCACGGUGAGAUUCAUGACUGGGGUGAAGUCGUAACAAGGUAACCA